Molecule: ribosomal RNA, 441 nt
Filed under: Listeria monocytogenes
Lineage: Bacteria; Bacillati; Bacillota; Bacilli; Caryophanales; Listeriaceae
Description: bacterial SSU rRNA
Rfam family: Bacterial small subunit ribosomal RNA
Source: RNAcentral
AACCCUUAUUGUUAGUUGCCAUCAUUUAGUUGGGCACUCUAGCGAGACUGCCGGUGACAAACCGGAGGAAGGUGGGGAUGACGUCAAAUCAUCAUGCCCCUUAUGACCUGGGCUACACACGUGCUACAAUGGGAAGUACAACGAGUUGCGAAGUCGCGAGGCUAAGCUAAUCUCUUAAAGCUUCUCUCAGUUCGGAUUGUAGGCUGCAACUCGCCUACAUGAAGCCGGAAUCGCUAGUAAUCGCGGAUCAGCACGCCGCGGUGAAUACGUUCCCGGGCCUUGUACACACCGCCCGUCACACCACGAGAGUUUGUAACACCCGAAGUCGGUGAGGUAACCUUUUUGGAGCCAGCCGCCUAAGGUGGGAUAGAUGAUUGGGGUGAAGUCGUAACAAGGUAGCCGUAUCGGAAGGUGCGGCUGGAUCACCUCCUUUCUAAGGAA